UCCGUAGGCGGUUUAGUAAGUCAGUGGUGAAAGCCCAUCACUCAACGGUGGAACGGCCAUUGAUACUGCUAGACUUGAAUUAUUAGGAAGUAACUAGAAUAUGUAGUGUAGCGGUGAAAUGCUUAGAGAUUACAUGGAAUACCAAUUGCGAAGGCAGGUUACUACUAAUUGAUUGACGCUGAUGGACGAAAGCGUGGUAGCGAACA
RNAcentral lists this ribosomal RNA (206 nucleotides) under uncultured bacterium. Its description in RNAcentral is "partial 16S ribosomal RNA". It matches the Rfam family "Bacterial small subunit ribosomal RNA", at positions 568 to 774 of the family's 1533-position model. The record is from RNAcentral.